RNAcentral lists this ribosomal RNA (468 nucleotides) under uncultured bacterium. Its description in RNAcentral is "partial 16S ribosomal RNA". It matches the Rfam family "Bacterial small subunit ribosomal RNA", at positions 28 to 507 of the family's 1533-position model. The record is from RNAcentral.
GACGAACGCUGGCGGCGUGCUUAACACAUGCAAGUCGAACGGAAAGGCCCUGCUUGUGUGGGGUGCUCGAGUGGCGAACGGGUGAGUAACACGUGAGUAUCCUGCCCUUGACUUUGGGAUAACUUCAGGAAACUGGGGCUAAUACCGGAUAGGAGCGCCUGCUGCAUGGUGGGGGUUGGAAAGUUUCGGCGGUUGGGGCUGGAUUCGCGGCUUAUCAGCUUGUUGGUGGGGUAGUGGCUUACCAAGGCUUUGACGGGUAGCUGGCCUGAGAGGGUGACAGGCGAAAUUAGGACUGAGAGACGGCGCAGUCUCCCACAGGGGACAGCAGGGGGGAAUAUUGCACAAUGGGCGGAAGCCUGAUCCGGUCACGCCGCGUGCGGGAUGACGGCCUUCGGGUUGUAAACCGCUUUCGCCUAUGACCAAGCGUGAGUGACGGUAAUGAGUAAAGAAGCACCGGCUAACUACGUG